CGGGCUAUUAGCUCAGUGGUAGAGCGCGCCCCUGAUAAUUGCCGGGCGAGGUCUCUGGUUCAAGUCCAGGAUGGCCC
RNAcentral lists this transfer RNA (77 nucleotides) under Actinidia chinensis (golden kiwifruit). RNAcentral describes it as "tRNA-Ile". It matches the Rfam family "tRNA". From Rfam's summary of the family: Transfer RNA (tRNA) molecules are approximately 80 nucleotides in length. Their secondary structure includes four short double-helical elements and three loops (D, anti-codon, and T loops). The record is from RNAcentral. RNAcentral also lists the same sequence under 14 other names. Lineage: Eukaryota; Viridiplantae; Streptophyta; Magnoliopsida; Ericales; Actinidiaceae.